AGCUGUGAGUUAUGCACAGAGCGAACUAUUCUUUCGCCUUUUACUAAAGAAUACCGUGUGCAUGUCUCAUUAAGCAGCAUAUGCCUAUUUUUGGAAGGGUUCUCCUUAUGGAGGACU
This is a small nuclear RNA of Lotus japonicus, 117 nucleotides long. RefSeq annotates it as U5 spliceosomal RNA. NCBI's taxonomy places the organism in Eukaryota, Viridiplantae, Streptophyta, Magnoliopsida, Fabales, Fabaceae. The transcript has a single exon. The record is from RefSeq and is a predicted model, not a curated record.